GAUGAACGCUGGCUACAGGCUUAACACAUGCAAGUCGAGGGGAAACGCCGGGGAAGCUUGCUUCCCCGGGCGUCGACCGGCGCACGGGUGAGUAACGCGUAUCCAACCUGCCUCUGACUGAGGGAUAACCCGUCGAAAGUCGGCCUAAUACCUCAUGGCAUCGUCUGCGGGCAUCCAACGACGAUUAAAGAUUUCAUCGGUCAGGGAUGGGGAUGCGUCUGAUUAGCUUGUUGGCGGGGUAACGGCCCACCAAGGCUACGAUCAGUAGGGGUUCUGAGAGGAAGGUCCCCCACAUUGGAACUGAGACACGGUCCAAACUCCUACGGGAGGCAGCAGUGAGGAAUAGUGGUCAAUGGGCGGGAGCCUGAACCAGCCAAGUAGCGUGCAGGAUGACGGCCCUAUGGGUUGUAAACUGCUUUUAUGCGGGGAUAAAGUGAGGGACGUGUCCUUCAUUGCAGGUACCGCAUGAAUAAGGACCGGCUAAUUCCGUG
This 491-nucleotide ribosomal RNA is filed under the name uncultured bacterium. RNAcentral describes it as "partial 16S ribosomal RNA". It matches the Rfam family "Bacterial small subunit ribosomal RNA", at positions 28 to 507 of the family's 1533-position model. The record is from RNAcentral.